Molecule: transfer RNA, 73 nt
Filed under: Streptococcus suis
Lineage: Bacteria; Bacillati; Bacillota; Bacilli; Lactobacillales; Streptococcaceae
Also listed under: 1 other name
Description: tRNA-Thr
Rfam family: tRNA
About the family: Transfer RNA (tRNA) molecules are approximately 80 nucleotides in length. Their secondary structure includes four short double-helical elements and three loops (D, anti-codon, and T loops). Further hydrogen bonds mediate the characteristic L-shaped molecular structure. tRNAs have two regions of fundamental functional importance: the anti-codon, which is responsible for specific mRNA codon recognition, and the 3' end, to which the tRNAs corresponding amino acid is attached (by aminoacyl-tRNA synthetases). tRNAs cope with the degeneracy of the genetic code in two manners: having more than one tRNA (with a specific anti-codon) for a particular amino acid; and 'wobble' base-pairing, i.e. permitting non-standard base-pairing at the 3rd anti-codon position.
Source: RNAcentral
GCUGGUUUAGCUCAGUCGGUAGAGCGCAUCCAUGGUAAGGAUGAGGUCGCCGGUUCGAUCCCGGCAACUAGCA